CGUGAGGCAUGCUGGAGGUAUCAGAAGUGCGAAUGCUGACAUAAGUAACGAUAAAGCGGGUGAAAAGCCCGCUCGCCGGAAGACCAAGGGUUCCUGUCCAACGUUAAUCGGGGCAGGGUGAGUCGACCCCUAAGGCGAGGCCGAAAGGCGUAGUCGAUGGGAAACGGGUUAAUAUUCCCGUACUUGGUGUUACUGCGAAGGGGGGACGGAGAAGGCUAUGUUGGCCGGGCGACGGUUGUCCCGGUUUAAGCGUGUAGGUGUGUGUUCCAGGUAAAUCCGGUUCACUUUAACACUGAGGCGUGAUGACGAGGCACUACGGUGCUGAAGCAACAAAUGCCCUGCUUCCAGGAAAAGCCUCUAAGCAUCAGGUAACAUCAAAUCGUACCCCAAACCGACACAGGUGGUCAGGUAGAGAAUACCAAGGCGCUUGAGAGAACUCGGGUGAAGGAACUAGGCAAAAUGGUGCCGUAACUUCGGGAGAAGGCACGCUGACACGUAGGUGAAGUGAUUUACUCAUGGAGCUGAAGUCAGUCGAAGAUACCAGCUGGCUGCAACUGUUUAUUAAAAACACAGCACUGUGCAAACACGAAAGUGGACGUAUACGGUGUGACGCCUGCCCGGUGCCGGAAGGUUAAUUGAUGGGGUCAGCGCAAGCGAAGCUCCUGAUCGAAGCCCCGGUAAACGGCGGCCGUAACUAUAACGGUCCUAAGGUAGCGAAAUUCCUUGUCGGGUAAGUUCCGACCUGCACGAAUGGCGUAAUGAUGGCCAGGCUGUCUCCACCCGAGACUCAGUGAAAUUGAACUCGCUGUGAAGAUGCAGUGUACCCGCGGCAAGACGGAAAGACCCCGUGAACCUUUACUAUAGCUUGACACUGAACAUUGAGCCUUGAUGUGUAGGAUAGGUGGGAGGCUUUGAAGCGUGGACGCCAGUCUGCGUGGAGCCGACCUUGAAAUACCACCCUUUAAUGUUUGAUGUUCUAACGUGGACCCGU
RNAcentral lists this ribosomal RNA (991 nucleotides) under Salmonella enterica subsp. enterica serovar Thompson. Its description in RNAcentral is "partial 23S ribosomal RNA". It matches the Rfam family "Bacterial large subunit ribosomal RNA", at positions 1262 to 2236 of the family's 2925-position model. Lineage: Bacteria; Pseudomonadati; Pseudomonadota; Gammaproteobacteria; Enterobacterales; Enterobacteriaceae. The record is from RNAcentral. RNAcentral also lists the same sequence under 1 other name.